This 378-nucleotide ribosomal RNA is filed under the name Scytonema sp. CCMEE 5099. RNAcentral describes it as "bacterial SSU rRNA". It matches the Rfam family "Bacterial small subunit ribosomal RNA", at positions 376 to 770 of the family's 1533-position model. RNAcentral also lists the same sequence under 2 other names. The record is from RNAcentral. Lineage: Bacteria; Bacillati; Cyanobacteriota; Cyanophyceae; Nostocales; Scytonemataceae.
CGAAAGCCUGACGGAGCAAUACCGCGUGAGGGAGGAAGGCUCUUGGGUUGUAAACCUCUUUUCUCAGGGAAGAAUGAUGACGGUACCUGAGGAAUAAGCAUCGGCUAACUCCGUGCCAGCAGCCGCGGUAAUACGGAGGAUGCAAGCGUUAUCCGGAAUGAUUGGGCGUAAAGCGUCCGCAGGUGGCAAUGUAAGUCUGCUGUCAAAGCGUCUGGCUCAACCAGAUAAAGGCAGUGGAAACUACAUAGCUAGAGUAAGGUAGGGGUAGAGGGAAUUCCUGGUGUAGCGGUGAAAUGCGUAGAGAUCAGGAAGAACACCGGUGGCGAAAGCGCUCUGCUGGACCUUAACUGACACUGAGGGACGAAAGCUAGGGGAGCG